This 29-nucleotide non-coding RNA is filed under the name Mus musculus (house mouse). The record is from RNAcentral. Lineage: Eukaryota; Metazoa; Chordata; Mammalia; Rodentia; Muridae.
UACAAGUUUUUGUUUUCAGAGGCACUUGG